This is a long non-coding RNA of Asparagus officinalis (garden asparagus), 184 nucleotides long. RefSeq lists it as uncharacterized. The transcript has 3 exons. Lineage: Eukaryota; Viridiplantae; Streptophyta; Magnoliopsida; Asparagales; Asparagaceae. The record is from RefSeq and is a predicted model, not a curated record.
CCGGAUACGAUAGAGGGGCUGCUGGAGUAUUUUCUUGACACCGAUGCAAGGGAGCUCGAGUUUGAGAUCUCCAGGUUGAGACAAAGAUUAACCAAAGAAUUCUUUGACCAUAUAAAGCUCGAACUUGGACAGCUGCGAUUUGCUGUGAAUAGAACACAGGAGAUGGAAGAUAGAAUGAUUGAAC